This 253-nucleotide ribosomal RNA is filed under the name uncultured bacterium. RNAcentral's name for it is "partial 16S ribosomal RNA". It matches the Rfam family "Bacterial small subunit ribosomal RNA", at positions 524 to 776 of the family's 1533-position model. The record is from RNAcentral.
UACGUAGGGUGCAAGCGUUGUCCGGAAUUAUUGGGCGUAAAGAGCUCGUAGGCGGUUUGUCACGUCGGAUGUGAAACCCUGAGGCUCAACCUCAGGCCUGCAUUCGAUACGGGCAGACUAGAAUUCGGCAGGGGAGACUGGAAUUCCUGGUGUAGCGGUGAAAUGCGCAGAUAUCAGGAGGAACACCCGUGGCUAAGGCGGCUCUCUAGUACGGUACUGACGCUGAGACGCGAAAGCGUGGGGAGCGAACAGG